AAGACCGUACUUAUACAGGAUCAUUUCUAUAGUACCUUCUUUUCUACUUGACUGAAGACCAAGUAAAGAGGACACUGAUGAGAACGUCGCAAAAAUGCAAGUGU
This 104-nucleotide small nucleolar RNA is filed under the name Plasmopara halstedii. Its description in RNAcentral is "Small nucleolar RNA U3". Lineage: Eukaryota; Oomycota; Peronosporomycetes; Peronosporales; Peronosporaceae. The record is from Rfam by way of RNAcentral.